CCUACGGGCGGCAGCAGUGAGGAAUAUUGGUCAAUGGACGAGAGUCUGAACCAGCCAAGUAGCGUGAAGGAUGACUGCCCUAUGGGUUGUAAACUUCUUUUGUCGGGGAACAAAGGCGUCCACGGGUGGGCGGAUGAGUGUACCUGAAGAAAAAGCAUCGGCUAACUCCGUGCCCGCAGCCGCGGUAAUACGGAGGAUGCGAGCGUUAUCCGGAUUUAUUGGGUUUAAAGGGUGCGUAGGCGGAAUAUCAAGUCAGCGGUAAAAAUUCGGGGCUCAACCCCGUCGUGCCGUUGAAACUGAUGUUCUUGAGUGGGCGAGAAGUAUGCGGAAUGCGUGGUGUAGCGGUGAAAUGCAUAGAUAUCACGCAGAACUCCGAUUGCGAAGGCAGCAUACCGGCGCCCAACUGACGCUGAAGCACGAAAGCGUGGGUAUCGAACAGGAUUAGAUACCCUAGUAGUC
RNAcentral lists this ribosomal RNA (459 nucleotides) under uncultured bacterium. Its description in RNAcentral is "partial 16S ribosomal RNA". It matches the Rfam family "Bacterial small subunit ribosomal RNA", at positions 338 to 795 of the family's 1533-position model. The record is from RNAcentral.